CCUACGGGAGGCAGCAGUGAGGAAUAUUGGUCAAUGGGCGAAAGUCUGAACCAGCCAUGUAGCGUGCAGGAUGACUGCCCUAUGGGUUGUAAACUUCUUUUAUACGGGGAUAAAAUGUUCCACGUGUGGGAUUUUGCAUGUACCGUAUGAAUAAGGAUCGGCUAACUCCGUGCCAGCAGCCGCGGUAAUACGGAGGAUCCGAGCGUUAUCCGGAUUUAUUGGGUUUAAAGGGAGCGUAGGCGGGUUGUUAAGUCAGUUGUGAAAGUUUGCGGCUCAACCGUAAAAUUGCAGUUGAUACUGGCAGCCUUGAGUACAGUAGAGGUGGGCGGAAUUCGUGGUGUAGCGGUGAAAUGCUGAGAUAUCACGAAGAACUCCGAUUGCGAAGGCAGCUCACUGGACUGCAACUGACACUGAGGCUCGAAAGUGUGGGUAUCAAACAGGAUUAGAUACCCGGGUAGUC
Molecule: ribosomal RNA, 460 nt
Filed under: uncultured bacterium
Lineage: Bacteria
Description: partial 16S ribosomal RNA
Rfam family: Bacterial small subunit ribosomal RNA
Source: RNAcentral